GACGAACGCUGGCGGCGUGCUUAACACAUGCAAGUCGAACGGAAAGGCCCUGCUUUUGUGGGGUGCUCGAGUGGCGAACGGGUGAGUAACACGUGAGUAACCUGCCCUUGACUUUGGGAUAACUUCAGGAAACUGGGGCUAAUACCGGAUCGGAGCUCCUGCUGCAGGGUGGGCGUUGGAAAGUUUCGGCGGUUGGGGAUGGACUCGCGGCUUAUCAGCUUGUUGGUGGGGUAGUGGCUUACCAAGGCUUUGACGGGUAGCCGGCCUGAGAGGGUGACCGGCCACAUUGGGACUGAGAGACGGACCAGACGGCUACGGGAGGCAGCAGUGGGGAAUAUUGCACAAUGGGAGGAAGCCUGAGGCAGCAACGCCGCGGGCGGGAUGACGGCCUUCGGGUUGUAAACCGCUUUCGCCUGUGACGAAGCGUGAGUGACGGUAAUGGGUAAAGAAGCACCGGCUAACUACGUG
RNAcentral lists this ribosomal RNA (468 nucleotides) under uncultured bacterium. Its description in RNAcentral is "partial 16S ribosomal RNA". It matches the Rfam family "Bacterial small subunit ribosomal RNA", at positions 28 to 507 of the family's 1533-position model. The record is from RNAcentral.